This is an RNA transcript of Alnus glutinosa, 4766 nucleotides long. It is a transcript of the gene named DExH-box ATP-dependent RNA helicase DExH7, chloroplastic, with no coding region annotated. The transcript is spliced from 36 exons. The record is from RefSeq and is a predicted model, not a curated record. Lineage: Eukaryota; Viridiplantae; Streptophyta; Magnoliopsida; Fagales; Betulaceae.
CACCUUGAUCACCACAUUUCAUUCUCACUCUGUGUGAGAAGGCAAAGCGAAAUGGCUCCGAAGAAGAAGCAGCAGAGCAAUAGCAAUCAGCCGAAUUCGAAUUCUUCAUCGAGAGCCAAACCACAAGCUUCAUCGUCUUCUUCGUCCUCCGGUCCGAGGCUCCAGAUUUCGGCCGAGAAUGAGAGCCGGCUUCGCCGCCUCUUGCUCAACAACUCGGCCCGGUCCGCUCCGGCGCCGGUUGACGAUACUCUCUCCAGGGCUCAGAAGGCCAAGAAGCUCAAGGCCGUCUACGAGAAGCUCUCCUGUGAAGGGUUCACCAAUGAUCAGAUUGAACUCGUUCUCUCCGCACUCAAGGAGGGUGCCACAUUUGAGGCUGCUCUUGAUUGGUUAUGCUUGAAUUUGCCGGGUAAUGAGCUUCCGUUGAAGUUUGCUAGUGGGAAUUCUCUGCACACACGUGGAGGUUCUGUUGGUGUCAUAUUAAAUUCACGGGAAGAUUGGACGCCUUCGGUGGACCUGUCAACUCAGAUUAAGGAGGAAGCCCCGCAAUUUUCUGUGAAGAUCAAGGGGAGGUGGGAUGAUGAUACUCUGGACUUACACCAACCUUCUCAAGCAGAUUGGAUCAGGCAAUAUAUGGAACAACAAGAAGAGGAUGAAUCUAAAACUUGGGAAGAUGAUGCGGUUGACAAGGGUUCCCUUGAGGAGGUCUCUGGUCCUAGGUCUUAUGAUGUUAUUGCAAAAGAGUACCAUGCUACACGGUUGGAAGCAAUAAAAGCCAAGGAAAAAAGGGAUAAGAAAAGCCAGGAGCAGGCAGGCAAUAUAAUCCGCAAACUCAAGCAAGAACUGUCUGCUCUAGGAUUAUCAGAUAACAUUUUGGCAUCGGAAUUUGAAAAUGAACAAGAUUCUGGUUCUGCAUCUGCAAACAUGAUUUCUAGUUCUACUGCUUUUGAGCACUCUGAGGUAAAACAAUUAUGCAAUGUUGAAGGUGGUUUGGCCUUUGUUGUGGAAGCAGAUGAAUCAACAGUUGAUGGAAAUGAUAUGGAUUGCUGUAGCUCGAAGGAGUUUCCAAUCAAAUCUUCUCCUAGUUCACUUAUUCAGGAAAAACAUGCUGUAAAGGAAGAGUCAGAAGAUGUAGAGCUUGGUGGUUUCUUUUCAGAAGAUGCCCCAUCUAAUGAUGGUUUACCUCCUGAAGUUUUGAAACUACAGAAGCAAGAAAAUAUGAGAAAAUUAUAUAAUGAGAAGAGUUUGGAAAAAUUAGAUGGCAUCUGGAAGAAGGGGGACCCACAAAAAAUUCCCAAGGCUGUUCUUCAUCAAUUAUGUCAAAGGUCAGGGUGGGAAGCACCAAAAUUUAAUAAAGUGAUGGGCCAAAGAAGUAGUUUCUCUUAUGCUGUCAGUGUCUUGCGGAGAUCCAGUGGGAGGGGUAAGAGCAGAAAAUCUGGGGGGCUAAUCACCCUUCAGCUUCCAGAUCAGGAUGAAACUUUUGAAUCUGCUGAGGAUGCACAGAAUAGAGUGGCAGCAUUUGCUCUUUGUCAUCUGUUUCCUGAUCUCCCGGUUCACUUAGUAGUUAUGGAGCCCUAUGCAUCACUUGUUAUGCAGUGGAAGGAAGGGGAAUCAUCGGCCAACAUGGAAGAAAAUGAGGAUGAUCGGAGGGCUGGUUUUGUGGAUUCAUUAUUGAGUGCUGACCAUUCUAGUUUAGCUGCUUCUGAUGAAGUUAUGAAUUGUUCUCUACCAGAAAAAUUCCAGAAGCUUAAUGUUCAAGGGAAUAAAAAUUCAACUCUUGCUGGUUUUGACUCAUUAGUUGACAGCCAUAUUGCAGGAGUAGAACAAAGGAAACAAGUGGAAAGUGCAUAUCUGAAUCAGGAACACGAGAAUAAAAUGAAUAUGCAGAGAUACAAGGACAUGUUGAAAAUUAGAGCUGCACUUCCUAUAUCUGCGUUGAAGGGUGAUAUAUUGCAACUGCUGAAGGAGAAUAAUGUUCUUGUAGUUUGUGGGGAAACAGGCUCUGGGAAGACAACUCAGGUUCCGCAAUUUAUUUUGGAUGAUAUGAUUGAAUCCGGAUGUGGUGGAUGGUGUAACAUCAUAUGCACACAACCAAGGAGAAUAGCGGCUAUUUCUGUGGCUGAAAGAGUUGCUGAUGAGCGCUGUGAACCAUCACCAGGUUCAGAUGGUUCUUUGGUUGGUUAUCAAGUCCGUCUUGACAGCGCAAGGAAUGAAAAAACAAAACUCCUCUUUUGUACUACAGGCAUUCUUCUGAGAAAAUUUGCGGGGGACAAAAACUUGACUGGUGUCACUCAUGUCAUAGUUGAUGAAGUUCAUGAACGGUCUCUGUUGGGUGAUUUUCUACUUAUUGUUUUGAAGAAUCUGAUAGAGAAGCAAUCUGCUCAUGGCACACCAAAACUGAAAGUCAUUCUUAUGUCUGCAACUGUAGAUUCCAAUUUGUUUUCAAGAUACUUUGGUGACUGCCCUGUAAUUACUGCAGAAGGCAGAACCCAUCCUGUGACAACUUACUUUCUCGAGGAUAUAUAUGAAAGUAUAAAUUAUCACCUUCCUUCAGAUUCUCUGGCCUCUAUAAGAAACGAAACAUCCACCAAGGAGAGGUUCCAGAGUGGUCCUGUAAGUAACCGCAGGGGUCAGAAGAAUCUUGUCUCAUCUGCCUGGGGUGAUGAGUCUCUACUUUCAGAAGACAGUAUUAAUCCAUAUUAUUUUCCAAGCAAUUAUCAAUCAUACAGUGAACAAACUCGACAAAAUUUGAAAGGAUUGAAUGAAGAUGUCAUUGAUUAUGAUCUUCUUGAGGACUUGGUCUGUCAUGUUGAUGAAACUUGUGGGGAGGGUGCCAUACUUGUAUUCUUACCUGGGGUGUCUGAAAUUUACAUGUUACUUGAAAAGCUAACUGCUUCUUACCGAUUUGGUGGACCAUCUUCUGAUUGGAUUCUUCCUUUACAUUCGUCCAUUGCAUCAAUUGAUCAGAAAAAGGCGUUUUUACGUCCUCCUGAAAACUUACGCAAGGUCAUUAUAGCCACAAACAUUGCAGAAACCAGUAUAACGAUAGACGAUGUGGUAUAUGUCAUCGACUGUGGAAAGCAUAAGGAGAAUCGUUAUAAUCCUCAGAAGAAAUUGUCUAGCAUGGUUGAAGAUUGGAUAUCUCAAGCAAAUGCAAGGCAAAGGCGAGGAAGAGCUGGACGUGUAAAACCUGGAAUUUGCUUUUGCUUGUACACAUGUUAUAGAUUUGAGAAAUGCAUGCGACCUUUUCAGGUUCCUGAGAUGCUUCGGAUGCCAUUAGUGGAAUUGUGUUUACAAAUUAAGUUACUUUCUCUGGGUUAUGUAAAACCUUUUUUAUCCAUGGCUUUAGAACCUCCUAGGGAGGAGGCUAUAACCUCAGCACUUUCAUUAUUAUAUGAGGUUGGGGCACUUGAAGGUAAUGAAGAGUUGACACCUCUUGGGCAUCAUUUGGCGAAACUUCCUGUUGAUGUAUUGAUUGGAAAGAUGAUGCUGUAUGGUGCAAUAUUUGGCUGCUUAUCACCCAUUCUCUCCAUUUCAGCAUUUUUGAGCUAUAAAUCUCCAUUUGUGUAUCCAAAAGAUGAGAGGCAAAAUGUUGAAAGAGCAAAAUUAGCACUUUUGAAAGAUAAGAUUGACGGUCCUAGUGAUUCAGAUGAUGGUGACAAGCAAUCUGAUCACCUGUUAAUGAUGACUGCAUACAGGAAAUGGGAGAAGAUUCUCCGUGAGAAAGGAGUUAAAGCUGCCCAACAUUUUUGCAAUUCAUAUUUUUUAAGCAGUUCAGUGAUGCACAUGAUAAGGGACAUGAGAAUACAGUUUGGUUCAUUGCUAGCUGACAUUGGCCUCAUCAACCUUGCAAAAAAGUAUCAGAUCCAUGGGAAAAGGAAAGAAGAUAUCGACCGUUGGUUUUCUGAUGCAUCACAACCGUUCAAUAAGUAUUCGUGUCAUUCAUCAGUUGUAAAGGCUAUACUAUGUGCAGGUUUAUACCCUAAUGUGGCAGCCACUGAACAAGGCAUUACUGGUGUUACUCUUGGGAGCCUUAAACAGUCUGUUGGUCCUGCAACACUGGGCCGUCCUGUAUGGUACGAUGGAAGAAGAGAAGUUCACAUACACCCUUCUUCUAUCAACGGUAGUUUGAAAGCAUUUCAGUACCCCUUCCUUGUUUUCCUUGAAAAGGUUGAAACCAACAAAAUUUUUCUUCGAGAUACCUCUGUCAUCUCUCCUUACUCUAUUUUGCUGUUUGGUGGCUCCAUUAACAUUCAACAUCAGACUGGACUGGUCACAAUAGAUGGAUGGUUAAAACUGACAGCAGCAGCCCAAAUUGCUGUCCUGUUCAAGGAACUGCGAUUAACUCUUCAUUCAAUUUUGAAGGAGCUAAUCAGAAAGCCAGAGAAUGCAUCUAUUGUUGAUAACGAGGUUGUCAGGUCUAUGAUCCAAUUGUUGUUAGAAGAAGACAAACCACUAAAGUAAUUUGGAGCAUCAAGUUUCCUUUCUGAGACUAUCAACAGAACAGUACACUAGUAAACACUGGAAGCACCUGUCUAGGAUGACCUUAUGUUGCCAUAUGAGGAAUUGUUAUCAAAAACAAAACAAAACAAAAGGAACGUUAUGUGUGACAUGCUACUUCGUUAUGGUGGAGCAUGAAAUUAGUGAAUCUCAUGUGUUAAGAUGGCAAUAUUUAUAUAUAUAAGGAACGUUAUGUGUGACAUGCUACUUCAUUAUGGUGGAGCAUGAAAUUAGUGAAUCUCAUGUGUUAAGAUGGCAAUAUUUAUAUU